RNAcentral lists this ribosomal RNA (460 nucleotides) under uncultured bacterium. RNAcentral describes it as "partial 16S ribosomal RNA". It matches the Rfam family "Bacterial small subunit ribosomal RNA", at positions 338 to 795 of the family's 1533-position model. The record is from RNAcentral.
CCUACGGGAGGCUGCAGUGGGGAAUAUUGGGCAAUGGGAGAGAGCCUGAACCAGCCAAGUAGCGUGAGGGAUGACGGCCCUAUGGGUUGUAAACUUCUUUUAUAUGGGAAUAAAAUGUUCCACGUGUGGGGGUUUGUGUGUACCAGAUGAAAAAGGAUCGGCUAACUCCGUGCCAGCAGCCGCGGUAAUACGGAGGAUCCGAGCGUUAUCCGGAUUUAUUGGGUUUAAAGGGUGCGUAGGUGGUUUGUUAAGUCAGUGGUUAAAGUUUGCGGCUCAACCCUAACAUUGCAGUUGAAACUGGCAGUCUUGAGUUCAGGAGAGGUGGGCGGAAUGCGUGGUGUAGCGGUGAAAUGCUUAGAUAUCACGCAGAACUCCGAUUGCGAAGGCAGUUCACUGGACUGAAACUGACACUGAGGCUCGAAAGUGUGGGGAUCAAACAGGAUUAGAUACCCGGGUAGUC